RNAcentral lists this small RNA (28 nucleotides) under Bombyx mori (domestic silkworm). RNAcentral describes it as "ovarian small RNA-27137". Lineage: Eukaryota; Metazoa; Arthropoda; Insecta; Lepidoptera; Bombycidae. The record is from RNAcentral.
UCCCAAGCUGCCUUCUCCUGAAGGAUAA